This is a long non-coding RNA of Homo sapiens (human), 1226 nucleotides long. Ensembl annotates it as MIR663A host gene. Its record names the gene MIR663AHG. NCBI's taxonomy places the organism in Eukaryota, Metazoa, Chordata, Mammalia, Primates, Hominidae. The record is from Ensembl.
GAGGCCGAGCGGUGGUGUGUCGUUCCCACCCCCAGCGCCCCCUCCUCCGGUCGGCGCCUCGGUGUCCGCGCGUGGGUCCUGAGGGAGCUCGUCGGUGUGGGGUUCGAGGCGGUUGAGUGAGACGAGACGCGCCCCUCCCACGCGGGGAAGGGCGCCCGCCUGGUCCGGCGAGCGCACGUCCGGUGCUCCCCUCUGGCGGACGGAAUGAAGUUGAUAAUAGUGAGACCUUGUUGGUACAAGACUAUGUAACAUAACCUGCGCUUCUCAACAAAGAAUUGCUUUUCUGACUUCUGCACUCAAUAGCAAGACAAAUCUCUCCUCUGCCUUCUCCUUAUCAGACUACUCAACAUGAAGGCAAUAAGAAUGAAGACCUCUAUGUAUAAUAAUUGACUUCCACUUAAUAAAUAAGGUUACUUGGUACACUGGUCGACAAAACCUUGAAAUGUUGAUGUUUAAGGGCUGUUGAUUGCUGGCAGCAAAGAAGUCCAACUGUGCUGGUACCCGAGAUAGCGUCUCCACAUUUUCUUCCAGGAUCAUCACCUUUGUUCUAAAUAGCUCCCACAUAGUGUGAACAGAAGUCAUAUGUUUUAGAUUUUCUGCCUUGGCACCCAGGAAACCAGUAUGAUUGAGUAAACAUAUUAAACUUCCUCUGCAUUUCCAGCCUGAACAGAUGUUGAGUACAAGCUGAUCCACCUACGUUCAACCUGAGAGAGUCCACAUCCACAGACUGUUUCAUUUCCCUUUUUCAAUUUACAUAGAAGCAUAGAUUCUUGCUGGCAUAUACAAAUGCGCCAUUUAAGGCAAUCAAAAAUGGUUCCACAUCUCAUCUGAUUUCCACAAUUGUUGCUGUAACGAUGGACUACUGAGGAGAGAGACAAUUUCUCUGGCACAUCUUCCCACAUUUUAGCAACAUGUUCAUGGAGAGCCAAUAUUCAGUAAUUACAGCCCAAUUCCUCACAAUUUCACAAUUCGCUAACAAUAUGCAUUUUCACAAUGUAAAGCUGAUUUUCCUUUAACCAAAUCAAACAUGAAAAGAUAGCUGCAUGCAAUGGGCAAUCUAGAUCAUUAGAAGAUUGAUGUAAAAUUAGAGGACACUGAGACUGGAAUAGAUUGCAAACUUCAGGGAGCUCAGAAAACUUGUAAACUCUACAUUUUGAGGAAAUAUGUUGUCGAUGCUUUUGCAACUCUAUGCAGUAACUUAACAAAUAAAGCCUUAAAGUAACUUA